CGUCGGAAUCUGGGAGGACCAUCUCCCAACCCUAAAUACUCCCUAGUGACCGAUAGUGAACCAGUACCGUGAGGGAAAGGUGAAAAGCACCCCGGGAGGGGAGUGAAAUAGAACCUGAAACCGUGUGCCUACAACAAGUUCGAGCCCGUUAAUGGGUGAGAGCGUGCCUUUUGUAGAAUGAACCGGCGAGUUACGUUAUGAUGCGAGGUUAAGUUGAAGAGACGGAGCCGUAGGGAAACCGAGUCUGAAUAGGGCGCCUUAGUAUCAUGACGUAGACCCGAAACCAUGUGACCUACCCAUGAGCAGGUUGAAGGUGCGGUAAGACGCACUGGAGGACCGAACCAGGGCACGUUGAAAAGUGCUUGGAUGACUUGUGGGUAGCGGAGAAAUUCCAAACGAACUUGGAGAUAGCUGGUUCUCUCCGAAAUAGCUUUAGGGCUAGCGUCGACAUUAGAGAUUCUUGGAGGUAGAGCACUGUUUGGGUGAGGGGUCCAUCCCGGAUUACCAAUCUCAGAUAAACUCCGAAUGCCAAUGAAUUAUGGUCGGCAGUCAGACUGCGAGUGCUAAGAUCCGUAGUCGAAAGGGAAACAGCCCAGACCACCAGCUAAGGUCCCAAAAUAAUUGUUAAGUGGAAAAGGAUGUGGGGUUGCACAGACAACUAGGAUGUUAGCUUAGAAGCAGCUAUUCAUUCAAAGAGUGCGUAAUAGCUCACUAGUCGAGUGACCCUGCGCCGAAAAUGUACCGGGGCUAAAACAAUUUACCGAAGCUGUGGAUACCUUUAUAGGUAUGGUAGGAGAGCGUUCUAUGUGUGAUGAAGGUAUACCGUGAGGAGUGCUGGAACGCAUAGAAGUGAGAAUGCCGGUAUGAGUAGCGAAAGACAGGUGAGAAUCCUGUCCACCGUAAGACUAAGGUUUCCAGGGGAAGGCUCGUCCGCCCUGGGUUAGUCGGGACCUAAGGAGAGACCGAAAGGUGUAUCCGAUGGACAACAGGUUGAUAUUCCUGUACUAGAGUAU
Molecule: ribosomal RNA, 1013 nt
Filed under: Streptococcus pneumoniae
Lineage: Bacteria; Bacillati; Bacillota; Bacilli; Lactobacillales; Streptococcaceae
Description: partial 23S ribosomal RNA
Rfam family: Bacterial large subunit ribosomal RNA
Source: RNAcentral